UACGUAGGGUGCGAGCGUUAAUCGGAAUUACUGGGCGUAAAGCGUGCGCAGGCGGUUUUGUAAGACAGGUGUGAAAUCCCCGGGCUCAACCUGGGAACUGCGCUUGUGACUGCAAGACUUGAGUGCGGCAGAGGGGGUGGAAUUCCACGUGUAGCAGUGAAAUGCGUAGAGAUGUGGAGGAACACCGAUGGCGAAGGCAGCCCCCUGGGUCGACACUGACGCUCAUGCACGAAAGCGUGGUAGCAAACAGGAUUAGAUACCCGUGU
Molecule: ribosomal RNA, 266 nt
Filed under: uncultured bacterium
Lineage: Bacteria
Description: partial 16S ribosomal RNA
Rfam family: Bacterial small subunit ribosomal RNA
Source: RNAcentral